GGCCACGCCCGGGGCAGCCCUGCGCAGCCUGGUUUGCCUCCAGGCUCGCCCGUCAGUCCAGUGAGAGGAUCGACAGACCCCCCCAAACCACAGGACCACGGCUCCCCCCUACCCCGAGCCGGAGGGCUCACUGCUGCAACACGGAGACGACCUCUGGGGCUGGGUUUGAAUCGUGCCCCUUGUCAGCCGUGUGAUCCUGAGCCUUGGCCCCUGGUGACUCCCGGGUCGCAGAGAUGGACAGACCCGAGGGAAGUGGGCUGCGGCCCGCGGCCAAGCCCUGCAGCGGCAGGUGGAAAGGUCAUCCUGUUGAAUAUUCACAGUAACCUUAGGUAUCCCCAGUCAACAGGAAAGAGAAAGCAAACCGAUGCCUGUGCUGCCCUGAUUUCAACAGAGCAGCCAACCUUUUAUCCAUUGCACACACAAGCUUCCUCACGAGACCUUCUGUAAAUGUAUAUAUAUAUAUAAAAUAAUUUUGAAAAUCCUUAUGCUGAAUAGUCUCCAAAAAUCCUUGUGCUGAAUAAUCUCUGCGGUCC
RNAcentral lists this long non-coding RNA (533 nucleotides) under Equus asinus (donkey). RNAcentral describes it as "lncRNA (ENSEASG00005028527.1)". The record is from RNAcentral. Lineage: Eukaryota; Metazoa; Chordata; Mammalia; Perissodactyla; Equidae.